RNAcentral lists this ribosomal RNA (253 nucleotides) under uncultured bacterium. Its description in RNAcentral is "partial 16S ribosomal RNA". It matches the Rfam family "Bacterial small subunit ribosomal RNA", at positions 524 to 776 of the family's 1533-position model. The record is from RNAcentral.
UACGAAGGGAGCAAGCGUUGUCCGGAAUCAUUGGGCGUAAAGCGCGCGUAGGUGGCCCCAUAAGUCCGCUGUGAAAGUCAAAGGCUCAACCUUUGAAAGCCGGUGGAUACUGUGGGACUAGAGUACGGAAGAGGCGAGUGGAAUUCCUGGUGUAGCGGUGGAAUGCGCAGAUAUCAGGAGGAACACCAAUAGCGAAGGCAGCUCGCUGGGACGUUACUGACACUGAGGCGCGAAAGCGUGGGGAGCGAACAGG